This 1062-nucleotide ribosomal RNA is filed under the name Triticum aestivum (bread wheat). RNAcentral's name for it is "partial small subunit ribosomal RNA". The record is from RNAcentral. Lineage: Eukaryota; Viridiplantae; Streptophyta; Magnoliopsida; Poales; Poaceae.
AUGGACCAGGAGGUGCAGCCGGACUUGGUGUGUGCUGCGACCAUGGAGGAUAAGGAGAAGCAGGCGAUGAUCCAUCACUGUAGGAUGGGGCAUGUAUCUUUUGAUAAGAUGAGUAGAAUAUUUCCGGAUGUUAUGUGUGGAAUGGGCAAAGGCAAGCUGACAUGUGAUGCUUGUGAAUAUGCAAAACACACACGGGCCUCAUAUGUGAGUAAGGGGCUCAGGAGCAUAUCUCCUUUUAUGCUUAUUCAUUCGAAUGUAUGGACUAGCCCAGUGGUGUCAAUGAAUGGGAAGAAGUAUUUUGCUACCUUUAUUGACUGCUAUUCUCGCAUGACUUGGAUUUAUUUGAUGCGUCACAAGGAUGAGGUGUUUAGCUGUUUUCAGAACUUCCAUGCUCUUGUAAAGAACCAGUUUCAGGUACAGGUCAAGGUGCUCAGGACGGACAAUGGAACGGAGUAUGUGAACAACAUUUUUGGGGCUUUCAUGGCUGACCAUGGGAUUCUUCAUCAAACUUCAUGUCCGGACACCCCCCCUCAGAAUGGAGUGGCCGAACGAAAGAAUCGUCAUGUUCUUGAGGUUGCUCGGUCGUUGAUGUUUACCAUGAAUGUGCCUAAGUUCUUGUGGGAUGAUGCAGUUAUGACAGCCACAUACUUGAUCAACCGGACACCUUCCAGGAUACUUGGCAUGCAAUCUCCAUCUGAGUUGCUCGUUGGAGAUAAUAAGUUUGUUGUUCCGCCAAAGUUGUUUGGCAAUACCUGCUUUGUUCGUGAUCACCGACCAUCUGUUGGCAAGCUUGAUCCUCAGGCAGUGAAGUGUGUCUUUUUGGGAUACUCGUCUAGUCAGCAGGGGUAUAAAUGUUGGUGUCCCUCUGAAAAACGCAGGUUUGUAAGUAUGGACGUUACGUUCAGGGAGUCUGAGCCAUUCUAUGGUGAGCCGACUGAUCUCAGUCUGCUGUUUGCAGAGCUUGACCACCUACACCCUGUGCAUGAUGGUCAAGAGGGGGAGAAGGAUGUGUCUCAUACUCACGGGGAUUCUGUGGACAUUAACGCUGAUAAUGAUGUGUAG